Molecule: ribosomal RNA, 469 nt
Filed under: uncultured bacterium
Lineage: Bacteria
Description: partial 16S ribosomal RNA
Rfam family: Bacterial small subunit ribosomal RNA
Source: RNAcentral
AGUGAUCAUUGGCGGCAGGCUUAACACAUGCAAGUCGAACGAGGUAGCAAUACCUAGUGGCGCACGGGUGAGUAACGCGUGGAUAAUCUGCCUUUGAGUGGGGGAUAACUAGUCGAAAGAUUAGCUAAUACCGCAUAAGACCACAGGAACUGAGGUUCUAGGGGUUAAAGGUUUUUCGCUCAUAGAUGAGUCCGCGUGAGAUUAGCUAGUUGGUGAGGUAACGGCUCACCAAGGCGACGAUCUCUAACUGGUCUGAGAGGAUGAUCAGUCACACUGGAACUGAGACACGGUCCAGACUCCUACGGGAGGCAGCAGUAGGGAAUAUUGCACAAUGGAGGAAACUCUGAUGCAGCGACGCCGCGUGAGUGAUGAAGGCUUUCGGGUCGUAAAGCUCUGUCGCAGGGGAAUAACACAAUGAAUGUACCCUGUAAGAAAGGAUCGGCUAACUUCGUGCCAGCCGCCGCCGUAA